GGGGAUAGCCUUUCGAAAGAAAGAUUAAUACCCGAUGGUAUCUUAAGCACGCAUGAGAUUAAGAUUAAAGAUUUAUCGGUAAGCGAUGGGGAUGCGUUCCAUUAGGCAGUUGGCGGGGUAACGGCCCACCAAACCUACGAUGGAUAGGGGUUCUGAGAGGAAGGUCCCCCACAUUGGAACUGAGACACGGUCCAAACUCCUACGGGAGGCAGCAGUGAGGAAUAUUGGUCAAUGGGCGAGAGCCUGAACCAGCCAAGUAGCGUGAAGGAUGACGGCCCUACGGGUUGUAAACUUCUUUUGUGCGGGAAUAAAGGAACCUACGUGUAGGUUUUUGCAUGUACCGUAACGAAUAAGCAUCGGCUAACUCCGUGCCAGCAGCCGCGGUAAUACGGAGGAUGCGAGCGUUAUCCGGAUUUAUUGGGUUUAAAGGGAGCGUAGACGGGUUUUUAAGUCAGCUGUGAAAGUUUGGGGCUCAACCUUAAAAUUGCAGUUGAAACUGGAGACCUUGAGUACGGUUGAGGCAGGCGGAAUUCGUGGUGUAGCGGUGAAAUGCUUAGAUAUCACGAAGAACCCCGAUUGCGAAGGCAGCCUGCUAAGCCGCCACUGACGUUGAGGCUCGAAAGUGCGGGUAUCAAACAGGAUUAGAUACCCUGGUAGUCCGCACGGUAAACGAUGGAUACUCGCUGUUGGCGAUAGACAGUCAGCGGCCAAGCGAAAGCGUUAAGUAUCCCACCUGGGGAGUACGCCGGCAACGGUGAAACUCAAAGGAAUUGACGGGGGCCCGCACAAGCGGAGGAACAUGUGGUUUAAUUCGAUGAUACGCGAGGAACCUUACCCGGGCUUGAACUGCAGUGGAAUUAUCCGGAAACGGAUAAGCGAGCAAUCGCCGCUGUGGAGGUGCUGCAUGGUU
RNAcentral lists this ribosomal RNA (910 nucleotides) under uncultured bacterium. RNAcentral's name for it is "bacterial SSU rRNA". It matches the Rfam family "Bacterial small subunit ribosomal RNA", at positions 139 to 1050 of the family's 1533-position model. The record is from RNAcentral.